AGUGAACGCUGGCGGUAGGCCUAACACAUGCAAGUCGAACGGCAGCACAGUAAGAGCUUGCUCUUACGGGUGGCGAGUGGCGGACGGGUGAGGAAUACAUCGGAAUCUACUUUUUCGUGGGGGAUAACGUAGGGAAACUUACGCUAAUACCGCAUACGACCUACGGGUGAAAGCAGGGGAUCUUCGGACCUUGCGCGAUUGAAUGAGCCGAUGUCGGAUUAGCUAGUUGGCGGGGUAAAGGCCCACCAAGGCGACGAUCCGUAGCUGGUCUGAGAGGAUGAUCAGCCACACUGGAACUGAGACACGGUCCAGACUCCUACGGGAGGCAGCAGUGGGGAAUAUUGGACAAUGGUCGCAAGCCUGAUCCAGCCAUACCGCGUCGGUGAAGAAGGCCUUCGGGUUGUAAAGCCCUUUUGUUGGGAGAGAAAAGCAGCAGGUUAAUACCCCGCUGUUCUGACGGUACCCAAAGAAUAAGCACCGGCUAACUUCGUG
Molecule: ribosomal RNA, 492 nt
Filed under: uncultured bacterium
Lineage: Bacteria
Description: partial 16S ribosomal RNA
Rfam family: Bacterial small subunit ribosomal RNA
Source: RNAcentral